Molecule: long non-coding RNA, 1306 nt
Filed under: Homo sapiens (human)
Lineage: Eukaryota; Metazoa; Chordata; Mammalia; Primates; Hominidae
Description: HSALNT0359425
Source: RNAcentral
CCUAAAUACAGAAUUGUUAGUUUCACUUCUUGAAUGUAACAAAGAGUUCACAUAUGACACAUUGCAAUAAAUAUCACUAGUCACUUCAGUCCAUGUGUAAGACACUGGAAACAUUCUGAGACUGACAGAAGAAAACAUUUCUUUUAGAUUCUCCCACUGAGGAUAGGCUAAAAACCAGUUUCUAACUAUAUUCUGUUUGGGUCUAGAUUGAAGUCCAUUCAUCUUUUAAAUUAGAGUAAUGAUUAAGAACAAGAUUUGUGACUGAGAAAAUGAUUUUUUAGAAAAGUGAAGAGGAUUGAGAAAAGAUUCUUCAUGUAUGCAUUUGCCCUGUAUCACUAAAAACAAAAUACGUGGUUAAGAGCAUGGGCAGUGGAGGCAGACAGUCCUAGGUUCAAGUUGGCCCUGGCAUUUACUAACUGUGCAGUUUGGAAAAGUUGAUUAACUGCUCCAGACCCCACUUUCCUCUUCAGUAAUAAUAAUAAUGCCUCUGUCACAAGAUUGUUUGUGAGACUUAAUUGAAAUAAUAUCUGUAAAGUGCCUGGCAUAUACUAAGUAGUUAAUGUGUGUUGACUAUAAUAAAUAAUUUUAAUAUUACAUAUAUAGUCAGUAUAAGAUUGUCAGGAUGCUUCAUCUAAAUAAAGUAAAUUUGCAUUUGUUAUUUAUGCAUUUUCAGUAUUAUAUAUCCCCAAUGCACUUGGAAAUGAUUUUAUAUUAUAGAUAUUAUUAAAGACUAUACAAAAAUAAUGAAGUAAAUACUUUAGAAUCUUCAGCCAUGAAACAACGCAUGCUCAUUAUCUGAAGGAUGCACAAUAUUGAAAUUUAAUCAAAAUAUUCACUUAAGCAAAAUUAAGAAAGCACAGAAAAUAAAAACCACAUUUAGGCUACAUAUUUACAGUGGAAACAUAAUAGAAAGUAAUGCAAUUAACUGGGGUAUGUAGGAUGGAUUCUCAGUGGACUGUCAAACCCAGGUUCUUGGACUACAGGCUGGAGGCCAGCCCCUGGACAGCAAGGUAAGUGUACUGAGAUAGAGAAUUUUAUCAGUUGAGGGUUCCUAGGAGCCAGUCUUGUCCCCUGACAACUGUCAACACCAUGAUGCGAUGAGAUUGAGCAUCUUAAAAGUGGUCAGAAUGAAAAUGGGCGUUUUUAAACGGAGCAGCUAACAUGUACAAAAGCUUAGAGGUAGGAAAUUACAAGCACGUGUGGGAAAAGACAAGCAGCUCAGUUUGGCUGAAGUGAUGAAUGAAUAAGGAGGAGUAGUAAGAAAUGAACUAAAGGCGGGGCAUGUUGGUUCAUGCCUGCAAUCCCA